This 1185-nucleotide long non-coding RNA is filed under the name Monodelphis domestica (gray short-tailed opossum). RNAcentral's name for it is "lncRNA (ENSMODG00000041041.1)". The record is from RNAcentral. Lineage: Eukaryota; Metazoa; Chordata; Mammalia; Didelphimorphia; Didelphidae.
UUUCUUGUUGUUUCUAGUAUUUUCUCCUUAACCUGGGAACUAUGGAACUUAGCAAUGAUAUUUUUAUGCAUUUUGAUCUUUGGGUCUUUUUAAGAUGGUGAUGAGUUGACUUUUUCAAUUUCUGUUUUACCUCUAAUUUUAGGAUUUUUAGACCAUUUUCCUUGAUGAUUUCUUGGAGUGUGGUAUCUAAAAUCUUUUUUAUAAUAACUUUUCUUGGAGUCUAACUAUUCUUAUACUGUCUCUCUUUGAUCUGUUUUCCAGGUCAGAUGUUUCUGUAAUAAGAGGUUUCAUAUUCUCUUCUUUUUUUCAUUCUUUUUAUUUUACCUUAUUAUUUCUUGUUGUCUUAGAAAUAAUCAGCUUUCCCUUAUCCAAUUCUAGUUCUUAACAAAUUAUUUUGUCUCAUGAGUUUCUAGAUCUCUUUUUCCAUUUGAGUGAUCUUUCAAAAUUUUGUUGAUUUUAUUGCAUUGUUCUUAUUUUUCCUAAUUUUUCCUCAGCCUCUCUCAUUUGGUUUUUGAUGUCUUUUUAAAACUCUUUCAAAAGAUCUUUUUGAGUUUGUGACCAUUUAUAUUUCUCUCUUGUUUUUGAAGUAGUUUUUACUCCACUGUUCUCUGAAUUUGAACCCAUGUCUUCUCUGCCCCCAUAAUAGCUAUCAAGAGUUGGGUUCUUUCCCCUUUGCUUAAUCAUUUUUUAAAUUUUAGCAGCCAGGCCAAUAGACUCAAUUAUUGGCUCUUUGCAAGAGACCUAGUGUUCCUAGCAUUCUGGAAUAUAUUACCUCCAUUUUAAGGAUUUUUUUCAUGUUUCUUUGUUUGUUUCCCCUAGGUUAUAUUUAGUUAUUCCAAUUUUUAUAGACCAAAGUCUGAUGUACUCCAGGAUCCUCUGCUCAAGCUCCAGUCUGUGAUUGACCUCGUGUUCCAACCAGAGCCUAAAGGUAGUUCUGCCACUACAACUACAAACAGUACACUUCCCCCUGUGGCAGCGACCAGAUACUAUCCUCUCGGGGGUGAUCACAACUAAUGGGGUCCCAAUCACUCAACAAUCACAAUCACUAGUGUGUGUUCCUUCUUCACUCCUCCUCUCUUACUGCCAUAGCCCAAGACUGAGCAAGUGUCCAGCCCAAGUUCCUCAUACCUCCAAAGAACCCAUGCAUGCAAAUGCUGAUUUCCACAUACAAAUGGAAUGACCCAG